RNAcentral lists this ribosomal RNA (253 nucleotides) under uncultured bacterium. Its description in RNAcentral is "partial 16S ribosomal RNA". It matches the Rfam family "Bacterial small subunit ribosomal RNA", at positions 524 to 776 of the family's 1533-position model. The record is from RNAcentral.
UACAGAGGUCCCAAGCGUUGUUCGGAUUCACUGGGCGUAAAGGGUGCGUAGGCGGUCGGGUAAGUCUGAUGUGAAAUCUCACAGCUUAACUGUGAAACUGCAUUGGAUACUAUCCGGCUCGAGGAAUGGAGGGGAGACUGGAAUACUUGGUGUAGCAGUGAAAUGCGUAGAUAUCAAGUGGAACACCAGUGGCGAAGGCGAGUCCCUGGACGAUACCUGACACUGAGGCACGAAAGCUAGGGGAGCAAACAGG